Molecule: telomerase RNA, 398 nt
Filed under: Castor canadensis (American beaver)
Lineage: Eukaryota; Metazoa; Chordata; Mammalia; Rodentia; Castoridae
Description: Vertebrate telomerase RNA (ENSCCNG00000013614.1)
Rfam family: Vertebrate telomerase RNA
About the family: Telomerase is a ribonucleoprotein reverse transcriptase that synthesises telomeric DNA. Telomerase RNAs differ greatly in sequence and structure between vertebrates, ciliates and yeasts, but they share a 5' pseudoknot structure close to the template sequence. Vertebrate telomerase RNAs have a 3' H/ACA snoRNA-like domain.
Source: Rfam by way of RNAcentral
AGGCCCAGGAGAGGUGGCCACCAUGCUUCACCUAACCCAAAGAAACAAGGGAGGAGGCCCUUAGCAUUUGCUCCCAUGUGUGCUGUUUUUCUCACUGUCUUUCAGAGGGCAAAAAGCCUCAGCCUAUUGCAGACCACCAUCAACUCUGCAACAAACAAAAUUGUCAGCUGUUGGCGCAUCCAUCCACCUGGUACCUGUGGUGGCCAAGAGGCCAGGUGGAUAGGGAAUUCUUCUGAGGCACCAAUGCCUCCAGGAAGAGUUGGGCUCUAUCAACAGGGAUCCCUUGAGGGCAAAGCAAGGCCUGGCCGUGUGGCUAUAUGGACAGGAAUGGAGCUCAUCCCUGUGUGGUGCUCUUCCCUGGCCUGUGGGAAGUGCAUCAGGACCAUGUCCUCACAUGC